ACUGCUCAGUAACACGUGGUCAACAUACCCAGAGACGUGAUAACCUCGGGAAACUGAGGAUAAACCCGCGAUAGACCAUAAUGUCUGGAAUGAUUUAUGGUUCAAAUCUACAUGGCCUCUGGAUUGGACUGCGGCCCGAUCAGGCUGUUGGUGAGGUAAUGGCCCACCAAACCUGAAACCGGUACGGGCUCUGAGAGGAGAAGCCCGGAGAUGGGCACUGAGACAAGGGCCCAGGCCCUAUGGGGCGCAGCAGGCGCGAAAUCUUUGCAAUAGGCGAAAGCCUGACAAGGUUACUCUGAGUGAUCUCCGCUAAGGAAAUCUCUUGACACCUCUAAAAAUGGUGUAGAAUAAGGGGUGGGCAAGCCUGGUGUCAGCCGCCGCGGUAAUACCAGCACCCCGAGUGGUCGGGACGAUUAUUGGGCCUAAAGCAUCCGUAGCCGGUUCCUUAAGUCCUCCGUUAAAUCCACCUGCUUAACAGAUGGGCUGCGGAGGAUACUAUAGAGCUAGGAGGCGGGAGAGGCAAGCGGUACUCAGUGGGUAGGGGUAAAAUCCGUUGAUCCAUUGAAGACCACCAGUGGCGAAGGCGGCUUGCCAGAACGCGCUCGACGGUGAGGGAUGAAAGCUGGGGGAGCAAACCGGAUUAGAUACCCGGGUAGUCCCAGCUGUAAACGAUGCAGACUCGGUGAUGAACAGGCUUCGUGCCUGUUCAGUGCCGCAGGGAAGCCGUUAAGUCUGCCGCCUGGGGAGUACGGUCGCAAGACUGAAGCUUAAAGGAAUUGGCGGGGGAGCAC
RNAcentral lists this ribosomal RNA (791 nucleotides) under uncultured archaeon. RNAcentral's name for it is "bacterial SSU rRNA". It matches the Rfam family "Archaeal small subunit ribosomal RNA", at positions 85 to 879 of the family's 1478-position model. The record is from RNAcentral.